Molecule: ribosomal RNA, 468 nt
Filed under: uncultured bacterium
Lineage: Bacteria
Description: partial 16S ribosomal RNA
Rfam family: Bacterial small subunit ribosomal RNA
Source: RNAcentral
GACGAACGCUGGCGGCGUGCUUAACACAUGCAAGUCGAACGGAAAGGCCCUGCUUUUGUGGGGUGCUCGAGUGGCGAACGGGUGAGUAACACGUGAGUAACCUGCCCUUGACUUUGGGAUAACUUCAGGAAACUGGGGCUAAUACCGGAUAGGAGCUCCUGCUGCAUGGUGGGGGUUGGAAAGUUUCGGCGGUUGGGGAUGGACUCGCGGCUUAUCAGCUUGUUGGUGGGGUAGUGGCUUACCAAGGCUUUGACGGGUAGCCGGCCUGAGAGGGUGACCGGCCACAUUGGGACUGGAAUACGGCCCAGCCUCCUACGGGAGGCAGCAGUGGGGAAUAUUGCACAAUGGGCGGAAGCCUGAUGCAGCAACGCCGCGUGCGGGAUGACGGCCUUCGGGUUGUAAACCGCUUUCGCCUGUGACGAAGCGUGAGUGACGGUAAUGGGUAAAGAAGCACCGGCUAACUACGUG